Molecule: unclassified non-coding RNA, 317 nt
Organism: Ursus americanus (American black bear)
Lineage: Eukaryota; Metazoa; Chordata; Mammalia; Carnivora; Ursidae
Gene: 7SK
Rfam family: 7SK RNA
About the family: 7SK was discovered as an abundant small nuclear RNA in the mid-70s but a possible function has only recently been suggested.
Source: Ensembl
GGGUAGGGCCAUCUGGCUGUGACACAUGUCACCCCAUUGAUCGCCAGGGUUGAUUCGGUUGAUCCGGCUGACCAGGCAGGUGUCCCCUUCCUCCCUCACCGCUCCAUAUGCAUCCCUCCUGAAGCUGUGUACUCGGUAGAAGUGGAUGACCUUCCCUGAUACAGGAGGACCGUUCUUUGGUAAGGGUAGAUGUGUUCACCUGCUGGAACCCCCAAACAAGCUGCCAAGGUCCAUUUGUAGGAGAACAUAGGGGAGCCAAGCUUCCAAGAUUCUAGACACAGCCAAAUGAGGUGCUGCAUCUGGCGGCCUGCCUUUCU